RNAcentral lists this ribosomal RNA (506 nucleotides) under uncultured bacterium. RNAcentral's name for it is "partial 16S ribosomal RNA". It matches the Rfam family "Bacterial small subunit ribosomal RNA", at positions 29 to 523 of the family's 1533-position model. The record is from RNAcentral.
AGUGAACGCUGGCGGUAGGCCUAACACAUGCAAGUCGAACGGCAGCACAGGAGAGCUUGCCCUCUGGGUGGCGAGUGGCGGACGGGUGAGGAAUACAUCGGAAUCUACUCUGUCGUGGGGGAUAACGUAGGGAAACUUACGCUAAUACCGCAUACGACCUACGGGUGAAAGCAGGGGACCUUCGGGCCUUGCGCGAUUGAAUGAGCCGAUGUCGGAUUAGCUAGUUGGCGGGGUAAAGGCCCACCAAGGCGACGAUCCGUAGCUGGUCUGAGAGGAUGAUCAGCCACACUGGAACUGAGACACGGUCCAGACUCCUACGGGAGGCAGCAGUGGGGAAUAUUGGACAAUGGGCGCAAGCCUGAUCCAGCCAUACCGCGUGGGUGAAGAAGGCCUUCGGGCUGUAAAGCCCUUUUGUUGGGAAAGAAAUCCAGCUGGCUAAUACCCGGUUGGGAUGACGGUACCCAAAGAAUAAGCACCGGCUAACUUCGUGCCAGCAGCCGCCGUAA